CAGGCCUAACACAUGCAAGUCGAACGAGGUUUGGUCAGUUUGCGGUGGUGCUUGCAUCACCAAUUACCGAUCAAACCGAGUGGCGGACCGGUGAGUAACACGUGGGUAACCUGCCCUUCAGCAGGGGAUAACAUUUGGAAACAGAUGCUAAUACCGUAUAACCACGGAGACCGCAUGGUCUCCGGGUAAAAGAUGGCGCAAGCUAUCACUGAAGGAUGGACCCGCGGCGUAUUAGCCAGUUGGUGGGGUAACGGCCUACCAAAGCGAUGAUACGUAGCCGACCUGAGAGGGUAAUCGGCCACAUUGGGACUGAGACACGGCCCAAACUCCUACGGGAGGCAGCAGUAGGGAAUCUUCCACAAUGGACGCAAGUCUGAUGGAGCAACGCCGCGUGAGUGGAGAAGGCUUUCGGGUCGUAAAACUCUGUUAUUGAAGAAGAACGUGUGUGACAGUAACUGGUCAUGCAGUGACGGUAUUCAAUCAGAAAGUCACGGCUAACUACGUGCCAGCAGCCGCGGUAAU
This 522-nucleotide ribosomal RNA is filed under the name uncultured bacterium. RNAcentral's name for it is "bacterial SSU rRNA". It matches the Rfam family "Bacterial small subunit ribosomal RNA", at positions 43 to 524 of the family's 1533-position model. The record is from RNAcentral.